UAUUAUAUCUUGUUAAUAUUUAUUUUUUUUUGUUUGUAAAUGAAAAAUAAUUUUUAAUUAUGAAAAGGUAGUUUUUUAUGAGAAGUUAAUGGCUAAAGAUUAAAGUACUGUAGAGGAAUGAAAAAUAAUUAUAAAAAGAGAAGGAAUUAAAUUUUGUAUCUUGUGUAUAAGAGAAAAUUUAUAUAGUUAAAGUAAGGUUAAGAUCUCGAAAUAAAAACAGUUAAUUUUUUAAUAAAGUUUUUAUAGGAUAUAAAUUUUUAAUAUAAAAUUAAAGGUGAAAUGUCAGACGAGUUUUAUAAUAUCUAGUUUUCUAAAAAAAAAUUUAAUUUGGUUUUUAUAGUUAUAAUAAUAUAAAAAGAUAAUAUAGAAGGGUAAAGCUUUCUAUUUUCUAGGAGUUAGAAUAGGAAAAUUAAGGUUGUGAUGUGAGCUAGGCUUAAGGGUAGUUAAGUUUUUAAAGUGUUUGGACUAAGUUUUAUAAUUUUUUUAAAAUUGUUUCUUUCUUUUGGUAUUAGAGAAUUAUUUUAAGUAGGAAAAAAUAAGAUAAAAUGAUUUUAUUAGUAGAUAGAGUUUUUUAAAUAAAUAUUUGAGAUGGAUUAAAGAAAGAUUUAAGAAUUAAAGAUGUAUUUAAGGAAUUUAGCAAAUAUUUUCUNNCCUGUUUAUCAAAAACAUGUCUGUUUGAAGCUAUAAAAAGUCUGACCUGCCCACUGGUUAGAAAAUUUAAGGGCCGCGGUAUUAUGACCGUGCAAAGGUAGCAUAAUCAUUAGGUUUUUAAAUGGAAUCUUGUAUGAAUGGUUGGACGAAGGAGAGACUGUCUUGGAAAUAAGUAUUAAAAUUUACUUUUAAGUGAGAAGGCUUAAAUGUUUUAGGAGGACGAUAAGACCCUAUAAAACUUUACAUUAAGGUAAUAUUUGAUUGAAUUUGAAUAAUAAAAGUUUUAGGUUAUUAUUUGUUUUGUUGGGGAGAUGAAAGUAAAAAUUAUAUUAACUGCUUAAAAAAUAAUCAUUUAUAAGUGUAUUAAGAAUUUAUUGAUCCUAUAAAUAUAGAUUAAAAGAUAAAGUUACUUUAGGGAUAACAGUGUUAUUUUUUUUGAGAGUUCGUAUCGAAGAAAAAGUUUACAACCUCGAUGUUGAAUUAGAAGUGUCUUUAUAAUGUAGCUGUUAUAGAAGAGGGUCUGUUCGAC
This 1180-nucleotide ribosomal RNA is filed under the name Pastilla ruhuna. RNAcentral describes it as "partial 16S ribosomal RNA". Lineage: Eukaryota; Metazoa; Arthropoda; Malacostraca; Decapoda; Gecarcinucidae. The record is from RNAcentral.